This 445-nucleotide ribosomal RNA is filed under the name uncultured bacterium. Its description in RNAcentral is "bacterial SSU rRNA". It matches the Rfam family "Bacterial small subunit ribosomal RNA", at positions 8 to 443 of the family's 1533-position model. The record is from RNAcentral.
AGAGUUUGAUCCUGGCUCAGAGCGAACGCUGGCGGCGUGCUUAACACAUGCAAGUCGAACGCGCAGCAUUCUGUAGCAAUACAGGGUGUGGGCGCGUGGCGAACGGGUGCGUAACACGUGGAUAACCUUCCUUCAGGUGGGGAAUAACCCAGUGAAAACUGGGCUAAUACCGCAUAACAUGACGAUGGCACAUGCUGUUGUCUUCAAAGGCGCAAGUCGCCAGAAGAGGGAUCCGCGGCCGAUUAGCUUGUUGGCGAGGUAAUGGCUCACCAAGGCAUUGAUCGGUAGCCGGACUGAGAGGUUGGCCGGCCACACUGGAACUGAGACACGGUCCAGACUCCUACGGGAGGCAGCAGUGGGGAAUCUUGCACAAUGGACGAAAGUCUGAUGCAGCAACGCCGCGUGGGGGAUGAAGCUUUUCGGAGUGUAAACCCCUUUCGACCCG